Molecule: non-coding RNA, 3723 nt
Organism: Camellia sinensis
Lineage: Eukaryota; Viridiplantae; Streptophyta; Magnoliopsida; Ericales; Theaceae
Source: RefSeq, a predicted model, not a curated record
CUCAGGUUCGGGAAUAGUUUGUUCCAAUUGUAGUAUUUCUCCCCCUGCUUGUGAGCCUUCUAUGUUUGGAGAAGUUGGACUGGGAUUUCCUUUGUUCUCCAUAUCUUGAAUACCCUGUUUCUGUUGUUGUUUUUCAGAAAACAAGGGAUGGAGAUUGAAUAGGAUUUGGUAAGGGAUCCGAAGUUGUCUGCCAAAAAUUUUCUUCCUUUUUCUUUUUCUCCCCUUGAAGAGAAUUUUUGAUAAAAUAGGAUUGAGUUUCAAGAAAGGAGACAUCCAUAAUCACCCAAAUGUUUUUGUUUCAGGAUUAUAGCACUUGUUGCCUCUUUUGUUUGGAGCAUACCCAAUGAAAACACAUUUUUCUGCUCUAAGAUCAAGUGUGGAUCGAAUUUGGCUAGGUAUGUGAACGAAAAUAGUGUAGCAAAAAAUUUUUGAAGGCAAAUUUGAAUUAAUUCUGCAAUCAAGAAAUGUUUUUUUGCAAUAUUUUAAGGGUGUGACAUAUUGCAAAACCCGGGUAGGCAUUCUAUUAAUUAAAUAAGAGGUUGUCAAAAUGGCAUCUCUCCAUAGAUAUUUGGGAACAUACAUAGAGAACAUUAUGGCUCAGGCUACUUCCAGUAUAUGCUUAUUUUUUCUUUCGGCAAUACCAUUUUGUUGAUGAGUGUCACGACAUAUAGAUUGAUGAAAAAUAACUUUUUUUCUAAAAAAAUUCCCUAGAUAUUUAUUGAAGUACUCUUUUCCAUUAUCAGCUCAAAAAAUACUAAUUUUUGAAUGAAAUUGAUUGUCAAUCAUUUUGUAAAAAUCUUGAGACACGUUUUUUACUUCAAAUUUGUCUUUCAUCAAAUAAACCUAGCAAAGUCGAGUGUGAUCAUCUAUAAAAGUUACAAACCACUUUACACCAGUCAUGGUGGUAACCUUGGAGAAACCCCACAUCACUAUGAAUUAAGUAGAAUGGUUUAGAGGCACGGUAGGGUUUUGUAAGAUAAGUAGUUCGAUGACUUUUAGAUAAAUAACAACUUUCACAUUGAAAAGACGAACAAUCCAAAUUUUUAAACAAGUUAGGAAACAAAUGUUUAAGAUAUGAAAAACUAGGAUGUCCUAGUCUAAAAUGCCAAAGCAUUAUUUGCUCGCGAGCCGAAAGUGAACUAAUACUACAAUCAUAGCCUUGAGUUGUUUUAUUGCUGGAUAUGUCAUCAUCAAAGUAGUAAAGACGAUUGACCAUUCUAGCACUGCCAAUCAACCUCCCCAAGUUUCGGUCCUGAAAUUCACAAUGAGAGUCAAAGAAAACAACACGAAAGUGAGAGUUUUUGGAUAGUUUACUGGCAGACAACAACUUGCAGGCCAGUUUAGGAACAUGAGGGACAGAAUGAAGAGUAAUAUUUUCUAAAAUUUUUAUUUGAACUUUUCCUACAAUAGGUGAGAAAUUGCCAUCAGCAAUCCUAACUCUUUGACUUUCAGAAUAAAAUAAAUAAGUAUUGAAUAAAGAAGAGAAAGAAGUCAUGUGAUCAGAUGCCCCCGAAUGUACAUCUAGAUGGACUGAAACCAACGCAAGAAAUAAUCACCAUUGAGUUUAAUGCUGGUGAUUUGCACCGAGUGAGAAUCAAUGUUGGGAGACAUGUUUGUCAAUGUUUUUCGGUGAAACGGUAACAGUGGAUUCAGAUGUGGUUUCUGAUAUGGUGAAGGACAGCUUGAUGGUUCUAGGAUUACCUCAGAAGGGUCAGAGAAUAAGUCCUCAGCUUUGAUACCAUGAAAGCUAGAAAGAACAAUAUUUCUUAUUCUCAUAUUUAAAUAAUGUACAUAGCACCUCUAUUUAUAGGAGAUACAAGGCAUAAAAUUAGGAAUUGAUUAGCUACUAAUUAGCUACUGAUUCUGAGGACUGAUUAGCUAUUAUUUAGCUACUAAUUUUGAUCCUAAUAAACUUUCCUAUUCUAUAGUAUUGACUAAAUCUAAAUGUUUACAGUUGUGAUAUCCAAAAGAAUUCAGCCAUAUCCUGGAAGAAUUAUUUUCUUUCCAUUUCCAAUAUUGAAUAUAGUUGAUAUUUGUUAGUUUUCCUUUUCUUAGCUUCUGUGGCGCAUAGGCAUUGUUCGUCAUGCUAUGCUUUUUAAGGGGUAAAGUGUUUUAUUGCCAUAAAAGGGGAUUUACAAUGAAGCUCAUGACAUGCCAAAGGCAAUACCCCCUCUAAAAGAGUGCUUACGCCUAGCCUGCAGAACAAUUAAACCUUAGCAAUUGGCAUUUUAGGAUAGAAAUUUGUGUGCUUUGCAAAUCCUUAGAACCUGGGGUCAAGAAAAAAUUGAGAAACUAAUUGGCAUGAGUAGUAUUUUAAUUUUGAGUUACUACUUAUGUCUACAAAUUGGCUUUCAUACUUAACCAAAAAAAAAAAGAAAAAGAAGAAAAAACAAAAACAGGGUUAAGUUAGUAGUUUAUUGGUGGUAGUUGCUACAUAAUUGAUGUCUGUUGGGCUAUAUAUAAUAAAUCCACGUGUUUUUUGGGAGAUAAAUGUAGACCUUUUUUUAUUCACUGGCAACUGAGCAGCGAGUAGUAACACAAGUGAUGAAGACUAAAGAAUUCCUCAACUGAACAGUGUGUCAACAACCAGCUGACAUGGGCAUGGAGAUAGAAGGUGAUGGGCGUGCCCGCAUAUCUUCAAUUCGAUCUAGGCAGAGUCGACAACCAGGUAAUUUCUAAUCUCAGUUGUCACUCAAGAAUAAAUUCACUUACAUUGCUACAAUUUCUUGGAAAUGGAUAUCGUAUUUCAUGAGUAAAAGAUCAAAAUUAUUCUGUUGACACGGCUUCUACAUGCUCCAAUUAGUAUGGUGUUAGAAUUGUAUGAUGCACGAUUCGAUUCAUACAAUUUAAUAUGAGUUUCAACCAAAAUUAUUUGAAUUGUGUUGUUAGAAAAUUGGGUGUCCUGUUGAAUUGAGAAUUGAGUAGUUCGUCUAUGUUUUUGUUUACAUAAUGUAUUGAAAUGAGGCCUUUUUCUGUUACUCUACGAUGAAACAAAAAUAGGGGAAUUGCUUAUAUUGAUAUACGUGGUUAUAUAUAAUUUAUUUAUAUUGAUACUAUGUAGUAUUUGACUUUGAUUGCUACAGUGUUCCCACAUAUGUGUGAGGUUUGGAAAUUCCUUUCCAAUAAUUUGGGCUGUAUUUGAUAAGCAUCCUGCGGAUCUUGUAUGAGAAGGAAAUAAGAAAUCGAAAAAAAAAAAAAACUUUGUUUAUAGUUUCAUGUGGAAAAAACAUGCAAAGAGCGAACUGCUAAUACAUGUAUUAUCUUUUGCAAUUUUAUCUUUUCUUUUGUGGAAAUUUUGUUAGAAUUUUGUAUUUCAUUUGUUGUGAUGGGUUAUAGAAACCAAAAACUCACUUUUCGUAGUUUUUAGAUAAUUAGAGAUUGACAAUUCCAACUUCCUUUACUUCAUUCAAAAAGUUGUUCAGAAUAAUUGAUCAGAAUUAUUUUGAGGAACCGGUUUGUGCAUAUUAUUCAAAAUAAUUUUACUUUUAGGAGCAGUUAGUUUUUCGUUUGUAUUUUUUUUUUCCUUUGUGUUUUUGGCGCUAACCCCUUGCAGGCAAUGACACAUAUAGACAUGGUUAAUCAUUUAAGGUAAUCUCCUAUACUUUUUGAUUUUAUUUUUUACAUUCAGGACAAUGCAUCGUUUAGGUUGGGGGCAGAAAAUACUUAUUUUGAGAAGAAUUUAUAUAUUUGCUUGCUGCUAUGAGUUAGUUGUUUUGUUUUUUU